AGAUUAUUGAAGUUGAAUCGGGUCUCGGUCCAUAUGAGAUUGAAUAUGAUGAAGAGUGGCUAUCAAUCACCCAUGGAAAGGGAGUGGUUUAGCUGGAAUGAGGCAAAGGGAGUGGGUUGGCCUUUUGUUUUUUUGUUAAAUGUUAAUCGUAACUGAAAGGAAAAAAAAUCAAAAUUUAAUUUUGAUUUAUUUGAUGUCUCGUGUCUUGCAGGUUCAUGGUGGUCAGCAGUCCAUGGUUGAUGAAAGCGAAUAGCUUUAGAGUUAGAAGAGGAAAAGAAAGCUCAAGCUGAAAGAGAUAAGAUGCUGCAAAUGCAAGUGUUGCAUUCUUCAUUUCAAUUGUUAGUAUGAAACACAUAGUAGAUUAGAUGAAUGUAAAUUUAUAUAUUGUAAGAAAUAGAAUUGUAUGACACUAAAUUUUAUGCAAUGGAUUGUAUUUUUUUUAUAUGGUAUU
Non-coding RNA from Lactuca sativa (garden lettuce), 451 nucleotides. Lineage: Eukaryota; Viridiplantae; Streptophyta; Magnoliopsida; Asterales; Asteraceae. The record is from RefSeq and is a predicted model, not a curated record.